This 1241-nucleotide ribosomal RNA is filed under the name metagenome. RNAcentral's name for it is "bacterial LSU rRNA". It matches the Rfam family "Bacterial large subunit ribosomal RNA", at positions 1564 to 2815 of the family's 2925-position model. The record is from RNAcentral.
UGAAUACGAGACGCUAAGGCGUCGAAGUAGUGUAUGUCAUACUUCCAAGAAAAGCUUGCACUGUCAUAGAUAAAAAACGCCUGUACCAUAACCGACACAGGUGGGUAGGUAGAGUAUACUAAGGGGCGCGAGAUAACUCUCUCUAAGGAACUCGGCAAAAUAACUCCGUAACUUCGGGAGAAGGAGUGCCUUAUUAUUAAGGUUGCAAUAACAAGAUCCAAGCAACUGUUUAUCAAAAACACAGGUCUCCGCUAAGUCGUAAGACGAUGUAUGGGGGCUGACGCCUGCCCAGUGCCAGAAGGUUAAAGAAGCUGGUUAGCAUUUGCGAAGCUAGUAACUGAAGCCCUGGUGAACGGCGGCCGUAACAAUAACGGUCCUAAGGUAGCGAAAUUCCUUGUCGGGUAAGUUCCGACCCGCACGAAAGGCGUAAUGAUUUGGAUACUGUCUCGGAGAGGGGCUCGGUGAAAUAGACUUGUCUGUGAAGAUGCGGACUACCUGCACCAGGACAGAAAGACCCUAUGAAGCUUUACUGUAACUUGAAAUUGAAAUUGGACUUUAUUCGCGCAGUAUAGGUGGGAGGCGUUGAUUAUAAUCUUGCGGGAUUAUUGGAGCCAUUAGUGAGAUACCACUCUUGUAAUGUUAGAUUUCUAACUUUGAAUCAUUAUCUGGUCAAAGAACAGUUUCAGGCGGGCAGUUUGACUGGGGCGGUCGCCUCCUAAACGGUAACGGAGGCGUACAAAGGUUUCCUCUGAACGGUUAGAAAUCGUAUCUAGAGUGUAAAGGCAUAAGGAAGCUUGACUGUGAGACCUACAAGUCGAGCAGGGACGAAAGUCGGUCUUAGUGAUCUGACGGUACUGAGUGGAAAGGCCGUCACUCAACGGAUAAAAGUUACUCUAGGAUAACAGGCUGAUCUCCCCCAAGAGUUCACAUCGACGGGGAGGUUUGGCACCUCGAUGUCGGCUCAUCGCAUCCUGGGGCGGUAGUACGUCCCAAGGGUUGGGCUGUUCGCCCAUGAAAGCGGUACGCGAGCUGGGUUCAGAACGUCGUGAGACAGUUCGGUCCAUAUCCGGUGUAGGCGUUAGAAUAUUGAGAGGAGCCUUCUUUAGUACGAGAGGACCGAGAAGGACAUACCUCUGGUGUACCAGUUAUCGUGCCAACGGUAGACGCUGGGUAGCUAUGUAUGGAGUGGAUAACCGCUGAAAGCAUCUAAGUGGGAAGCCCACCUCAAGAUAAGUAUUCCC